Small nucleolar RNA from Rattus norvegicus (Norway rat), 79 nucleotides. Ensembl annotates it as small nucleolar RNA SNORD115. Lineage: Eukaryota; Metazoa; Chordata; Mammalia; Rodentia; Muridae. The record is from Ensembl.
GGGUCAAUGUUGACAACAAAAAGUCAUGGACAGAGAUGAAGUUAUAACAAUCAUGCUCAAUGGAAUAAUGCUGAGGCCC